This 525-nucleotide ribosomal RNA is filed under the name Pantoea sp. RNAcentral describes it as "bacterial SSU rRNA". It matches the Rfam family "Bacterial small subunit ribosomal RNA", at positions 8 to 524 of the family's 1533-position model. The record is from RNAcentral. Lineage: Bacteria; Pseudomonadati; Pseudomonadota; Gammaproteobacteria; Enterobacterales; Erwiniaceae.
AGAGUUUGAUCAUGGCUCAGAUUGAACGCUGGCGGCAGGCCUAACACAUGCAAGUCGGACGGUAGCACAGAGAGCUUGCUCUUGGGUGACGAGUGGCGGACGGGUGAGUAAUGUCUGGGGAUCUGCCCGAUAGAGGGGGAUAACCACUGGAAACGGUGGCUAAUACCGCAUAACGUCGCAAGACCAAAGAGGGGGACCUUCGGGCCUCUCACUAUCGGAUGAACCCAGAUGGGAUUAGCUAGUAGGCGGGGUAAUGGCCCACCUAGGCGACGAUCCCUAGCUGGUCUGAGAGGAUGACCAGCCACACUGGAACUGAGACACGGUCCAGACUCCUACGGGAGGCAGCAGUGGGGAAUAUUGCACAAUGGGCGCAAGCCUGAUGCAGCCAUGCCGCGUGUAUGAAGAAGGCCUUCGGGUUGUAAAGUACUUUCAGCGGGGAGGAAGGCGAUGGGGUUAAUAACCCUGUCGAUUGACGUUACCCGCAGAAGAAGCACCGGCUAACUCCGUGCCAGCAGCCGCGGUAAU